This 323-nucleotide unclassified non-coding RNA is filed under the name soil metagenome. RNAcentral's name for it is "partial contains 5.8S ribosomal RNA, internal transcribed spacer 2, and large subunit ribosomal RNA". The stretch from base 1 to 120 matches the Rfam family "5.8S ribosomal RNA", at positions 35 to 154 of the family's 154-position model. The record is from RNAcentral.
GAUGAAGAACGCAGCGAAAUGCGAUAAGUAAUGCGAAUUGCAGAAUUCAGUGAGUCAUCGAAUCUUUGAACGCACAUUGCGCCCUGUGGUAUUCCGCAGGGCAUGCCUGUUCGAGCGUCAUUUCAACCCUCAAGCUCUGCUUGGUGUUGGGCCCUGCCCGCUGCGGCCGGCCCUAAAGACAGUGGCGGUGCCGCCUGGCCCUGAGCGUAGUACAUCUCUCGCUCCAGUGCCCGGUGGUAGCCUGCCAGAACCCCAACUCUCGUGGUUGACCUCGGAUCGGGUAGGGAUACCCGCUGAACUUAAGCAUAUCAAUAAGCGGAGGA